RNAcentral lists this unclassified non-coding RNA (355 nucleotides) under soil metagenome. RNAcentral describes it as "partial contains 5.8S ribosomal RNA, internal transcribed spacer 2, and large subunit ribosomal RNA". The stretch from base 1 to 120 matches the Rfam family "5.8S ribosomal RNA", at positions 35 to 154 of the family's 154-position model. The record is from RNAcentral.
GAUGAAGAACGUAGCGAAAUGCGAUAAGUAAUGUGAAUUGCAGAAUUCAGUGAAUCAUCGAAUCUUUGAACGCACAUUGCGCCCGCCAGUAUUCUGGCGGGCAUGCCUGUCCGAGCGUCAUUUCAACCCUCGAACCCCUCCGGGGGGUCGGCGUUGGGGAUCGGCCCUGCCUCUUGGCGGUGGCCGUCUCCGAAAUACAGUGGCGGUCUCGCCGCAGCCUCUCCUGCGCAGUAGUUUGCACACUNNCAUCGGGAGCGCGGCGCGUCCACAGCCGUUAAACACCCAACUUCUGAAAUGUUGACCUCGGAUCAGGUAGGAAUACCCGCUGAACUUAAGCAUAUCAAUAAGCGGAGGA